GAUGAACGCUAGCGGGAGGCCUAACACAUGCAAGCCGAGCGGUAUUGUUUCUUCGGAAAUGAGAGAGCGGCGUACGGGUGCGGAACACGUGUGCAACCUGCCUUUAUCUGGGGGAUAGCCUUUCGAAAGGAAGAUUAAUACUCCAUAAUAUAUUGAACGGCAUCGUUUAAUAUUGAAAGCUCCGGCGGAUAGAGAUGGGCACGCGCAAGAUUAGCUAGUUGGUGAGGUAACGGCUCACCAAGGCGAUGAUCUUUAGGGGGCCUGAGAGGGUGAUCCCCCACACUGGUACUGAGACACGGACCAGACUCCUACGGGAGGCAGCAGUGAGGAAUAUUGGUCAAUGGGUGCAAGCCUGAACCAGCCAUCCCGCGUGAAGGACGACUGCCCUAUGGGUUGUAAACUUCUUUUGUAUAGGGAUAAACCUACCCUCGUGAGGGUAGCUGAAGGUACUAUACGAAUAAGCACCGGCUAACUCCGUGCCAGCAGCCGCGGUAAUACGGAGGGUGCAAGCGUUAUCCGGAUUUAUUGGGUUUAAAGGGUCCGUAGGCGGACUUAUAAGUCAGUGGUGAAAGCCUGUCGCUUAACGAUAGAACUGCCAUUGAUACUGUAAGUCUUGAGUAUAUUUGAGGUAGCUGGAAUAAGUAGUGUAGCGGUGAAAUGCAUAGAUAUUACUUAGAACACCAAUUGCGAAGGCAGGUUACCAAGAUAUAACUGACGCUGAGGGACGAAAGCGUGGGGAGCGAACAGGAUUAGAUACCCUGGUAGUCCACGCCGUAAACGAUGCUAACUCGUUUUUGGGCUUUAGGGUUCAGAGACCAAGCGAAAGUGAUAAGUUAGCCACCUGGGGAGUACGCUCGCAAGAGUGAAACUCAAAGGAGUUGACGGGGGCCCGCACAAGCGGUGGAUUAUGUGGUUUAAUUCGAUGAUACGCGAGGAACCUUACCAAGACUUAAAUGGGAAUUGACAGCUUUAGAAAUAGAGCUUUCUUCGGACAAUUUUCAAGGUGCUGCAUGGUUGUCGUCAGCUCGUGCCGUGAGGUGUUAGGUUAAGUCCUGCAACGAGCGCAACCCCUGUCACUAGUUGCCAUCAUUCAGUUGGGGACUCUAGUGAGACUGCCUACGCAAGUAGAGAGGAAGGUGGGGAUGACGUCAAAUCAUCACGGCCCUUACGUCUUGGGCCACACACGUAAUACAAUGGCCGGUACAGAGGGCAGCUACACAGCGAUGUGAUGCAAAUCUCGAAAGCCGGUCUCAGUUCGGAUUGGAGUCUGCAACUCGACUCUAUGAAGCUGGAAUCGCUAGUAAUCGCGCAUCAGCCAUGGCGCGGUGAAUACGUUCCCGGGCCU
RNAcentral lists this ribosomal RNA (1345 nucleotides) under uncultured bacterium. RNAcentral's name for it is "bacterial SSU rRNA". It matches the Rfam family "Bacterial small subunit ribosomal RNA", at positions 28 to 1381 of the family's 1533-position model. The record is from RNAcentral.